Molecule: ribosomal RNA, 487 nt
Filed under: uncultured Glomus
Lineage: Eukaryota; Fungi; Glomeromycota; Glomeromycetes; Glomerales; Glomeraceae
Description: SSU rRNA
Rfam family: Eukaryotic small subunit ribosomal RNA
Source: RNAcentral
AGCAGCCGCGGUAAUUCCAGCUCCAAUAGCGUAUAUUAAAGUUGUUGCAGUUAAAAAGCUCGUAGUUGAAUUUCGGGAUCAAUAUGUUGGUCGUGCCUUGGUACGUACUGGCAUUAUUGGUUUCUACCUUCUGAAGAACCUCGAUGUCAUUAAUUUGGUGUCUUGGGGAAUCAGGACUGUUACUUUGAAAAAAUUAGAGUGUUUAAAGCAGGCUCGCGCUUGAAUACAUUAGCAUGGAAUAAUGAAAUAGGACGUUUGAUUCUAUUUUGUUGGUUUCUAGGAUUGACGUAAUGAUUAAUAGGGAUAGUUGGGGGCAUUAGUAUUCAAUUGUCAGAGGUGAAAUUCUUGGAUUUAUUGAAGACUAACUACUGCGAAAGCAUUUGCCAAGGAUGUUUUCAUUAAUCAAGAACGAAAGUUAGGGGAUCGAAGACGAUCAGAUACCGUCGUAGUCUUAACCAUAAACUAUGCCGACUAGGGAUCGGAUGAU